GAUGAAGAACGUAGCGAAAUGCGAUAAGUAAUGUGAAUUGCAGAAUUCAGUGAAUCAUCGAAUCUUUGAACGCACAUUGCGCCGGCCAGUAGUCUGGCGGGCAUGCCUGUCUGAGCGUCAUUUCAACCCUCAUGCCCCUAGGGCGUGGUGUUGGGGAUCGGCCAAAGCCCGCGAGGGACGGCCGGCCCCUAAAUCUAGUGGCGGACCCGUCGUGGCCUCCUCUGCGAAGUAGUGAUAUUCCGCAUCGGAGAGCGACGAGCCCCUGCCGUUAAACCCCCAACUUUCCAAGGUUGACCUCAGAUCAGGUAGGAAUACCCGCUGAACUUAAGCAUAUCAAUAAGCGGAGGA
This 348-nucleotide unclassified non-coding RNA is filed under the name soil metagenome. Its description in RNAcentral is "partial contains 5.8S ribosomal RNA, internal transcribed spacer 2, and large subunit ribosomal RNA". The stretch from base 1 to 120 matches the Rfam family "5.8S ribosomal RNA", at positions 35 to 154 of the family's 154-position model. The record is from RNAcentral.